UCAAGAAAAGUCUCUAUCGAGGUUAAAGGUACCCGUACCGCAAACCGACACAGGUGGGUGAGGAGAGUAUCCUAAGGCCAGCGAGAGAACUGUUGUUAAGGAACUCGGCAAAAUGACCCCGUAACUUAGGGAUAAGGGGUGCCACCAUCAGGUGGCCGCAGAGAAUAGGCCCAAGCGACUGUUUACCAAAAACAUAGGUUUCUGCUAAGUCGCAAGACGAUGUAUAGGAGCUGACGCCUGCCCGGUGCUGGAAGGUUAAGGGGAUCUGUUAGAGCAAUCGAAGCAGUGAACUUAAGCCCCAGUAAACGGCGGCCGUAACUAUAACGGUCCUAAGGUAGCGAAAUUCCUUGUCGGGUAAGUUCCGACCCGCACGAAAGGCGUAACGAUUUGGGCACUGUCUCAACAACAGACUCGGUGAAAUUGUAAUUCCGGUGAAGAUGCCGGAUACCUGCGACAGGACGGAAAGACCCCAUGGAGCUUUACUGUAGCUUGACAUUGGGUCUUGGUACUACAUGUACAGGAUAGGUGGGAGGCUUUGAAACCAGGACGCCAGUUUUGGCGGAGCCAUCCUUGGGAUACCACCCUUGUA
This 589-nucleotide ribosomal RNA is filed under the name Clostridioides difficile. Its description in RNAcentral is "partial 23S ribosomal RNA". It matches the Rfam family "Bacterial large subunit ribosomal RNA", at positions 1608 to 2210 of the family's 2925-position model. The record is from RNAcentral. Lineage: Bacteria; Bacillati; Bacillota; Clostridia; Peptostreptococcales; Peptostreptococcaceae.